AGAGUUUGAUCAUGGCUCAGGACGAACGCUGGCGGCGUGCUUAACACAUGCAAGUGGAGCGACGAACCAGGCUUCGGCCUGGGGCAAAGCCGCGAACGGGUGAGUAACACGUGGGUAACCUGCCCCGAUGACUGGGACAACCCGGGGAAACCCGGGCUAAUACCGGAUGUGCUCCCUCACCUCGGUGAGACGAGUAAAGGAAGCUUCGGCCUCCGCAUCGGGAUGGGCCCGCGGCCCAUUAGCUUGUUGGUGGGGUAACGGCUCACCAAGGCGACGAUGGGUAGCUGGUCUGAGAGGACGAUCAGCCACACUGGGACUGAGACACGGCCCAGACUCCUACGGGAGGCAGCAGUGGGGAAUCUUGCGCAAUGCGCGACAGCGUGACGCAGCAACGCCGCGUGGGGGAAGAAGGCCUUCGGGUUGUAAACCCCUUUCAGGAGGGACGAAGGCCGGGCGGUUAAUAGCCGACCCGGCUGACGGUACCUCCACAAGAAGCCCCGGCUAACUACGUGCCAGCAGCCGCGGUAAUACGUAGGGGGCAAGCGUUGUCCGGAAUCAUUGGGCGUAAAGAGCGUGUAGGCGGUCCGGUAAGUCGGUUGUGAAAGUCAGGGGCUCAACCCUUGAAUGCCGACCGAUACUGCCGGACUAGAGUCCGGAAGAGGCGAGUGGAAUUCCUGGUGUAGCGGUGAAAUGCGCAGAUAUCGGGAAGAACACCCGUGGCGAAGGCGGUUCUCUGGGACGGUACUGACGCUGAGACGCGAAAGCGUGGGGAGCGAACAGGAUUAGAUACCCCUGUAGUCC
This 801-nucleotide ribosomal RNA is filed under the name uncultured Solirubrobacterales bacterium. RNAcentral describes it as "bacterial SSU rRNA". It matches the Rfam family "Bacterial small subunit ribosomal RNA", at positions 8 to 796 of the family's 1533-position model. The record is from RNAcentral. Lineage: Bacteria; Bacillati; Actinomycetota; Thermoleophilia; Solirubrobacterales.